AGGGGUGUAGCUCAACUGGUAGAGCACUGGUCUCCAAAACCAGCGGUUGCAGGUUCGAGUCCUGUCGCCCCUGCCA
RNAcentral lists this transfer RNA (76 nucleotides) under Chloroflexota bacterium. Its description in RNAcentral is "Chloroflexi bacterium tRNA-Trp". It matches the Rfam family "tRNA". From Rfam's summary of the family: Transfer RNA (tRNA) molecules are approximately 80 nucleotides in length. Their secondary structure includes four short double-helical elements and three loops (D, anti-codon, and T loops). RNAcentral also lists the same sequence under 5 other names. Lineage: Bacteria; Bacillati; Chloroflexota. The record is from RNAcentral.